AGUGAACGCUGGCGGUAGGCCUAACACAUGCAAGUCGAACGGCAGCACAGUAAGAGCUUGCUCUUACGGGUGGCGAGUGGCGGACGGGUGAGGAAUACAUCGGAAUCUACUUUUUCGUGGGGGAUAACGUAGGGAACUUUCGCUUAUUCCCCAUUCGACCUUCGGGUUAAAGCAGGGGAUUUUCGGACCUUUCGCCAUUUAAUUAGCCGAUGUCGGAUUAGCUAGUUGGCGGGGUAAAGGCCCACCAAGGCGACGAUCCGUAGCUGGUCUGAGAGGAUGAUCAGCCACACUGGAACUGAGACACGGUCCAGACUCCUACGGGAGGCAGCAGUGGGGAAUAUUGGACAAUGGGCGCAAGCCUGAUCCAGCCAUACCGCGUGGGUGAAGAAGGCCUUCGGGUUGUAAAGCCCUUUUGUUGGGAAAGAAAAGCAGCAGGUUAAUACCCCGCUGUUCUGACGGUACCCAAAGAAUAAGCACCGGCUAACUUCGUG
Molecule: ribosomal RNA, 491 nt
Filed under: uncultured bacterium
Lineage: Bacteria
Description: partial 16S ribosomal RNA
Rfam family: Bacterial small subunit ribosomal RNA
Source: RNAcentral